Molecule: non-coding RNA, 1216 nt
Organism: Leptonychotes weddellii (Weddell seal)
Lineage: Eukaryota; Metazoa; Chordata; Mammalia; Carnivora; Phocidae
Source: RefSeq, a predicted model, not a curated record
GUCUCUCCUUUCGCCAUCUACAUGAUCCUUGAUUAAACAUGGAACAGAGUUAUUAAAAAGGGGGGGUAAGGACUCAAGGAGAGGAAAUGCAACUGUCAGAAAUCGGGACCGCCAGAUUUCCUGGUGAACCUGCCUCUGUCUGAGAGGGUGUCUCGUCGAACGGUAGCUAAGAUCUCACCAGAACCGCGCGGAAGUGAGGAGUCGCGGCCAAAGGCGCUCGCUGGAGCCUCCUCUCUGGGCCGGACCCCAGCCCGAGCCGCGAAAGGAGCCCCCCGCCCGGAUCACAGCUGCUGCAGCUGCCGCUGAAAUUCGCUGUGGCCGCUGCCUCUUCCCGCUUUAAUCCCAGACCUCCAGUCAUUGGGCAGCUCCUCAGAGGCAAGAAGUCAACACCAUGGCAACCCGACAAGCCUAUCAAAUCACCGGCUGGCGUGACAGCAGCAACACGGCCGGCAGAAGUGGGCUGGGCGGAAGAGCAGAGUGGUCACUACGCUCAGGUACACAGUCUGGGAGUGGACAGCAACUGUCAGCCUCCACGUUCUGGCUACACAGAUGUGCACCACCCAGUUCAUACCCUUACCCUAUGUCCCCUAGUAGGUUUGGAGGAGGAGGAAGAGGAGGAGGACCAGGAGGAGGAGGACAAGCAGGAGGAGGAGAAGGGGAGAUAUAUAUAGGAGUGGAAGAGCUUCGGGAGAGAGUUUCAAGCUAAAAGUAAUAGAAGCCCUAGAUACUGUAAACUAAACACGCCUUGUGCCCCAGCAGCAGAGGAAACCAAGUCACAAUAGCCUCAGAACCAGAUUUAAAGGGUUUGCACAAAGGUGUGGGGUUUUUCUUCACCGGUUCUGUCACUUGCUUGAGCAAAAUUAAUGCAACGUUGUGUUCUGGAGUUUCAAAAGUAUAAAAGAAAAUGUUACAUUUUUAACUUUUACUGUCUGCCAGUGUCCGAGUCUGCAAAAAAUAUGGCUUGACAUCAAUGUCAUCUAUGCUAAUUGACUGCCUUGGAAAUGACCUAAACUUUACCUGAAACUGCCUUCGCCUUGUUCUUUCCUAAGAUGUGUGCUAUGUGUCAUGUGUGUUCUAGAUCUUCUCUAAAGAGAAGAAACCGAGGAGACUAGGAAAUCCGUGCAUUCCUUGUGGGCCUACUUGGUCUUUGUAUUUCCUAAUUUUCCUUGAACUCCCAAGUAGGCAAAUAGAAGAAGACAGGACUUUCACUAAUAAU